This 253-nucleotide ribosomal RNA is filed under the name uncultured bacterium. RNAcentral's name for it is "partial 16S ribosomal RNA". It matches the Rfam family "Bacterial small subunit ribosomal RNA", at positions 524 to 776 of the family's 1533-position model. The record is from RNAcentral.
UACGUAGGGUGCGAGCGUUGUCCGGAAUUAUUGGGCGUAAAGAGCUCGUAGGCGGUUUGUCGCGUCGGCCGUGAAAACUUGGGGCUUAACUCCGAGCUUGCGGUCGAUACGGGCAGACUUGAGUUCGGCAGGGGAGACUGGAAUUCCUGGUGUAGCGGUGAAAUGCGCAGAUAUCAGGAGGAACACCGGUGGCGAAGGCGGGUCUCUGGGCCGAUACUGACGCUGAGGAGCGAAAGCGUGGGGAGCGAACAGG